GCGACGAACCAGGGCUUGCCCUGGGGCUAAGCCGCGAACGGGUGAGUAACACGUGAGUAACCUGCCCCGAUGACCGGGACAACCCGAGGAAACUCGGGCUAAUACCGGAUGUGGCGCACAGGUCUAAGCCUGUUCGCUAAAGGAAGCUUCGGCCUCCGCAUUGGGAGGGGCUCGCGGCCCAUUAGCUUGUUGGUGGGGUAACGGCCUACCAAGGCAACGAUGGGUAGCUGGUCUGAGAGGACGAUCAGCCACACUGGGACUGAGACACGGCCCAGACUCCUANNNNNGGCAGCAGNNNNNNAUCUU
This 306-nucleotide ribosomal RNA is filed under the name uncultured soil bacterium. Its description in RNAcentral is "partial 16S ribosomal RNA". It matches the Rfam family "Bacterial small subunit ribosomal RNA", at positions 66 to 365 of the family's 1533-position model. The record is from RNAcentral.